This is a long non-coding RNA of Sphaerodactylus townsendi, 147 nucleotides long. RefSeq lists it as uncharacterized. Lineage: Eukaryota; Metazoa; Chordata; Lepidosauria; Squamata; Sphaerodactylidae. The transcript has 3 exons. The record is from RefSeq and is a predicted model, not a curated record.
UUUAUCCUACUACUUCGCCUUGGCUUCUUCCCUUUAUAGUAAUUUUAUUGCUUUUCCUGGGCAUUACUCUUUUUGCAGUGCAUAAACUGAGAAAGAGUAAUCAGACUGUAUCUAAAUCUGAAAAUAAGAAGAAUAAAUUAAAAACAG